RNAcentral lists this unclassified non-coding RNA (365 nucleotides) under Acacia parramattensis. RNAcentral's name for it is "partial external transcribed spacer". Lineage: Eukaryota; Viridiplantae; Streptophyta; Magnoliopsida; Fabales; Fabaceae. The record is from RNAcentral.
GUGCCCGUCCACCGAACGGUCGGCAGGCGAUCCGCGUCGGUCGCGCUGGGUGGUAUGGUUCCCCAGAGGCCGGUUCUUGUGCUGCCUACCCCUUCAGGGGAAGAGUUCCAAACUUGAUGUAAGCCUCCAUCCGGCGCCCUCCAAAGGGCGCGGGAGGACAACGGAGCACCCCCCGCGUUCCACCGAGCCUCCUCGGUCGCGUGGCCCGCGGGGACGUGCGAUGCUCUCGGACCCAGCGAACGCCGUGGGCGAGGACUCACGUCCCGGUCCCAAGUGAAGCAACGGUAUAACGCACGACGGCCGCUCCCGCCCCACGACCGCCCCGGCGGCGCGGGGGCGAAGGCGCGGCGUCGCUGAGGAAUGCU